RNAcentral lists this non-coding RNA (235 nucleotides) under Ruminococcus sp. RNAcentral describes it as "partial RNase P RNA component class A". It matches the Rfam family "Bacterial RNase P class A", at positions 1 to 237 of the family's 367-position model. Rfam says of the family: Ribonuclease P (RNase P) is a ubiquitous endoribonuclease, found in archaea, bacteria and eukarya as well as chloroplasts and mitochondria. Its best characterised activity is the generation of mature 5'-ends of tRNAs by cleaving the 5'-leader elements of precursor-tRNAs. The record is from RNAcentral. Lineage: Bacteria; Bacillati; Bacillota; Clostridia; Eubacteriales; Oscillospiraceae. RNAcentral also lists the same sequence under 1 other name.
CAGCCAGGCCAGGUGAUCGCGGCUGGACAGACGAAAGGGUUCAGACGAGGAAAGUCCGGGCUUCACAGGGCAGGAUGCCGGAUAACGUCCGGUGGAGGUAACUCCCAGACCAGUGCAACAGAAAUAAACCGCCUCCUUUGCGGGGUAAGGGUGGAAAGGCAGUGUAAGAGACUACCGCCGCUGUGGUAACAGAGCGGGCACAUGUAAACUCCAUUCGAAGCAAGACCGAGAAGAA